GAUCCAGGACGGCCUGGGCCGCAGUCGUGCACUGAUCCAGGACGGCCUGG
This 50-nucleotide non-coding RNA is filed under the name Mustela putorius (European polecat). Its description in RNAcentral is "Guanidine-II sequence". It matches the Rfam family "Guanidine-II riboswitch aptamer (mini-ykkC)". Rfam says of the family: Simpler in structure and has fewer highly conserved nucleotide positions than the ykkC-yxkD leader. The record is from RNAcentral. RNAcentral also lists the same sequence under 1 other name. Lineage: Eukaryota; Metazoa; Chordata; Mammalia; Carnivora; Mustelidae.